CCCCCUAACGUGGAUCGCCUUGACGUGGCAGGGGGGCUUAACCCAGGUUUGUCAGAGCCUGGGAACUAAGAAUCCAC
RNAcentral lists this non-coding RNA (77 nucleotides) under unclassified sequences. The record is from RNAcentral.